This 370-nucleotide ribosomal RNA is filed under the name uncultured bacterium. Its description in RNAcentral is "bacterial SSU rRNA". It matches the Rfam family "Bacterial small subunit ribosomal RNA", at positions 527 to 896 of the family's 1533-position model. The record is from RNAcentral.
GGAGGGUGCAAACGUUGCUCGGAAUUAUUGGGCGUAAAGAGCGCGUAGGCGGUUCGGUCAGUCUGACGUGAAAUCCCGGAGCUUAACUCCGGAACUGCGUUGGAUACUGCCGGGCUUGAGUGUGGGAGAGGAGAGUGGAAUUCCCAGUGUAGAGGUGAAAUUCAUAGAUAUUGGGAGGAACACCAGUGGCGAAGGCGGCCUUCUAGCCCGAUACUGACACUGAGACGCGAAAGCGUGGGGAGCAAACAGGAUUAGAUACCCUGGUAGUCCACGCCGUAAACGAUGGGCACUAGGUGUAGGAGGUUUUAUCCCUUCUGUGCCGAAGCUAACGCAUUAAGUGCCCCGCCUGGGGAGUACGGCCGCAAGGCUA